Molecule: non-coding RNA, 94 nt
Organism: Mycena crocata
Lineage: Eukaryota; Fungi; Basidiomycota; Agaricomycetes; Agaricales; Mycenaceae
Source: the annotation of a GenBank genome assembly
AGCAGUAUGGUGUAAGGUAGCACGCAGGCAUUCAGUGAGCGUUGACUUCGUAAGUGAACGUCCCGAAGUCUUUGUUCGAAUCAAGGUGCUGCUA